RNAcentral lists this ribosomal RNA (406 nucleotides) under uncultured bacterium. Its description in RNAcentral is "partial 16S ribosomal RNA". It matches the Rfam family "Bacterial small subunit ribosomal RNA", at positions 29 to 526 of the family's 1533-position model. The record is from RNAcentral.
AUUGAACGCUGGCGGCAGGCCUAACACAUGCAAGUCGAGCGAGCGGCGGACGGGUGAGUGAUGUCUGGGAAACUGCCCGAUGGAGGGGGAUAAAUACUGGAGAAGGUAGCAAAUACCGCAUAACCUCAGAUGUGCCCAGAGUGGGUUGGAUAGUAGGUGGGGUAACGGCUCACCUAGGCGACGCUCCCUAGCUGGUCUGCGCGGAGGACCAGCCACCCGGGAACUGAGCCACGGUCCAGACUCCUACGGGAGGCCGCAGUGGGGAUUAUUGCACAAUGGGCGCAAGCCUGAUGCAGCCAUGCCGCGUGUGUGAAGAGGGCCUUCGGGUUGUAAAGCACUUUCAGCGGGGAGGCGUUACCCGCAGAAGAAGCACCGGCUAACUCCGUGCCAGCAGCCGCGGUAAUAC